Molecule: ribosomal RNA, 434 nt
Filed under: uncultured bacterium
Lineage: Bacteria
Description: partial 16S ribosomal RNA
Rfam family: Bacterial small subunit ribosomal RNA
Source: RNAcentral
AGCGAACGCUGGCGGCAGGCCUAACACAUGCAAGUCGAACGAACCUUUCGGGGUUAGUGGCGGACGGGUGAGUAACACGUGGGAACGUGCCUUUAGGUUCGGAAUAACUCAGGGAAACUUGUGCUAAUACCGAAUGUGCCCUUCGGGGGAAAGAUUAAUCGCCUUUAGAGCGGCCCGCGUCUGAUUAGCUAGUUGGUUGAGGUAAUGGCUCACCAAGGCGACGAUCAGUAGCUGGUCUGAGAGGAUGAUCAGCGACAUUGGGACUGAGACACGGCCCAAACUCCUACGGGAGGCAGCAGUGGGGAAUCUUGCGCAAUGGGCGAAAGCCUGACGCAGCCAUGCCGCGUGAAUGAUGAAGGUCUUAGGAUUGUAAAAUUCUUUCACCGGGGACGAUAAUGACGGUACCCGGAGAAGAAGCCCCGGCUAACUUCGUG